Molecule: ribosomal RNA, 497 nt
Filed under: uncultured bacterium
Lineage: Bacteria
Description: partial 16S ribosomal RNA
Rfam family: Bacterial small subunit ribosomal RNA
Source: RNAcentral
GAUGAACGCUGGCGGCGUGCCUAAUACAUGCAAGUCGAGCGAACAGACGAGGAGCUUGCUCCUCUGACGUUAGCGGCGGACGGGUGAGUAACACGUGGAUAACCUACCUAUAAGACUGGGAUAACUUCGGGAAACCGGAGCUAAUACCGGAUAAUAUAUUGAACCGCAUGGCUCAAUAGUGAAAGACGGUUUUGCUGUCACUUAUAGAUGGAUCCGCGCCGCAUUAGCUAGUUGGUAAGGUAACGGCUUACCAAGGCGACGAUGCGUAGCCGACCUGAGAGGGUGAUCGGCCACACUGGAACUGGGACACGGUCCAGACUCCUACGGGAGGCAGCAGUAGGGAAUCUUCCGCAAUGGGCGAAAGCCUGACGGAGCAACGCCGCGUGAGUGAUGAAGGUCUUCGGAUCGUAAAACUCUGUUAUUAGGGAAGAACAAAUGUGUAAGUAACUAUGCACGUCUUGACGGUACCUAAUCAGAAAGCCACGGCUAACUACGUG